AGCGAACGCUGGCGGCAGGCCUAACACAUGCAAGUCGAACGAACCUUUCGGGGUUAGUGGCGGACGGGUGAGUAACACGUGGGAACGUGCCUUUAGGUUCGGAAUAACUCAGGGAAACUUGUGCUAAUACCGAAUGUGCCCUUCGGGGGAAAGAUUUAUCGCCUUUAGAGCGGCCCGCGUCUGAUUAGCUAGUUGUUUGAGGUAAUGGCGCACCACGGCGACGAUCAGUAGAUGGUCUGAGAGGAUGAUCAGCCACAUUCGGACUGAGACACGGCCCAAACUCCUACGGGAGGCAGGAGUGGGGAAUCUAGCGCAAUGGGCGAAAGCAUGACGCAGCCAUGCCGCGUGAAUGAUGAAGGUCUGAGGAUUGUAAAAUUCUUUCACCGGGGACGAUAAUGACGGUACCCGGAGAAGAAGCCCCGGCUAACUUCGUG
Molecule: ribosomal RNA, 434 nt
Filed under: uncultured bacterium
Lineage: Bacteria
Description: partial 16S ribosomal RNA
Rfam family: Bacterial small subunit ribosomal RNA
Source: RNAcentral